RNA transcript from Vitis vinifera (wine grape), 4855 nucleotides. RefSeq lists it as uncharacterized. The transcript has 11 exons. Lineage: Eukaryota; Viridiplantae; Streptophyta; Magnoliopsida; Vitales; Vitaceae. The record is from RefSeq and is a predicted model, not a curated record.
UAUGGUGUUUGGUUUGGUUCUGAGUGUUAGUCAUGGAUACACAUUUCAUCAAGCUGAGCUUCCUUGGUGGUAAAGAACUUGAUAAUGGUGGGCCUGCAGCAAGCCAAGGAUAAUCCUAGCCCCCAAGUCCUGAGCCAGAUGCUUAUCGAGCAACCAUUUGGGAGUUGAUGAAAGUUGGAUCCUGAUGGGAUUGUGGACAUGAAGAAUAGUUGGUGAUUGUGUUUGCAGCCUGUGUUGUUGAGGACAAGGAUAAACUAUACUACUACAUGUCAAAGUGUUGUACAAAGAUGAAUGGAAUAGUAAAAUACAAAAAAAUAGAACUCACAAAUAAUAGGUUUAUAUCGAGGCUAAAGUUUGAUUCUAUGCCUCUUAAAUACUUAGAAUAUAAAGAUGAUUGUCUUAUAGAAUAUUGAAGAUUGUGAAAAUUUUUAUGAAUAAAUAAAUUUUUAUUUCUCCAUUUGUUGGAUGUAGGAGGAGAUUUGGUAGAGGUGGAAGACUUGCCUUUGAAGUAGCUUGAAGGACUUUUUAUAGUUUAUUAGCCUCACGGGUCUUGUGUCAUCUUAUGGUAGAUAUUUUUAACGGUUAACCAUCAUUUUGUAGUCACUUUCUUAAGAAGUUUUCAACUUGGAGUCAAAUUUAGGCCAAUUAGUCAAAGAUUAGGUUAGAUUGGGUUAUUGAGUAUGCCUAUUGGAAGCGAUUUUUCCUUCUUGAUUUAUCGUGUGAUACAAUGGGCUGGUUUGCCUGUUUAUAUUAGGGUGCAGGUUGACUUUGGUAGUCAAUUUUGGUGGCGAUUACGGUGUUUUAACUAGAUUCCAAAUUGUGAAUCACGAGUCUUGUUAAUAUGAACAUUCUAGUUAUUAGGUGGGGGUUUAGGGAGGUAUCCCUUUGUGCUUGGUACCUAAGGUCGUCUCUUUUCGAGAUAUAGGGUUAGAAUAGGCCGCUUCCUUUCAAAGGUAUUUGGUUGGUUGGUACCUAUUUAUGGUACUACCACUUUGAGGUGGUGACAUGGUUUGGUGACUCGGAGGCAGUAUUUUAGAUUGGUCAAUAUUUUUAGAUACAAUGUUCAAUUUCUUGUUUAUAAUAGUAUAUCAUAUAAAAAGAAAUGGUGAGUUACUUGUUGAUUUAUAUCCUCUUAAAUAAUCGAUGGAAUGAAUGUUUGACUAGACUUAAAUAUUAGAAAGAAUUUGAUUUAACUCGAGAUAUGAGUAACUAAAUGAAAAACAAGAGACAUCGUAUUGAAUAAGUAAAAGAUAUUGUCAAGUUUCUUAUCUAUAGUUGAAGGUGAUGAUUAUUGGAGGGGUUGUGUCUUUGAAAUAACAAUAUUUAUCGAAGGUUAAUACAAAACAUGUCUGUUAGAAGGGUUGCGUCUUUGAGGUAAAAUAUUUGGACAUAUCUUUUAGGAAGAACAUGUUUUCUUCAAAAAAAUAUUACUAAGUAAAUAAUUGAAUUAUUUUAUUAAAAUCAUUUUUUUAAAAUGUGAAUUUUUUUUAAUAUAAAAAAUUGAAUCAAACUAGUUUGAUAAAAAUGAAGAGAACAUUCAUAUAUUUAUAAAUAUCAAAAUAAAAAUAUAAAAGCAUUUUAAAACUAUAAUAGAGAUAAAUAUAAAAUAUAAAUUUUUGAAAAUUUUAUUUUGAAAAAGUGAGAUUUGGGAGUCUAGUGGAACUUCUUUAACUCAAAGCGAAUGAGAAUGUAUCCAUUUCAUUAAUUUAUACAUUUAAUAUUUUUUUAUUACAUUUCUUAUUUAUGCAUUUUUUAUAAUAAAAUUAAAAUAGAAAAUAGAAAAUAAAUCAACAUUUAUACUAAUUGUAAACACAAUAGAAAAUGUUGCAAAAUGUAAAAGGGGUAGUGUAUGAAAAAAAUUAAAAUAAAAUAAAAGUGAUUGGACAGGACAAAAACGUAAUAAACAGUCGAUAUAUUCUCCUUCCACCAUCCAACCACUUGGGAGAGUGUGGAGACGGCACAUUAUGACUCAGUGCCCUCAAUUUCAAUUAUUUACCAAGGAUCCUUUUUCUCCGAUUAUCCUCUUCAUCGGGUCCUCUGCAUCUCCUAUUUCGCAAGCACAGGGCCAGAAGCAAUCCGAGGAUGGCUCAACCAGGUUCGACCCAUGAUGCACAAAGCCCAGUGAUUCAGCAGCAGAACGUGAUAAUACCAAACAAUCAUGGUGAAAAACUUGUGGGCACAUUACAUGAAACUGGAUCUCCAGAAAUUGUAAUUUUGUGCCAUGGUUUCCGGUCCUCAAAGGAAUACACCAUCAUGGUGAACCUUGCUGUUGCUUUGGAAAAUGAGGGGAUUAGUGCCUUCCGCUUUGAUUUUGCUGGAAAUGGGGAAAGUGAAGGUUCAUUUCAGAUUGGUGGCUAUUGGAGAGAGGCCGAUGAUUUACAUGCUGUAAUCCAACAUUUCCGGGGUGCAAAGCGUGUAAUACAUGCAAUUCUGGGGCAUAGUAAAGGAGGCGAUGUGGUCCUGUUGUAUGCUUCGAAGUAUCAUGAUGUACAUAUGGUUCUCAAUGUUUCUGGCCGUUAUAAUCUGAAGAGAGGCACUGACGAGUACUUUGGUAAAGACUUUUUCGAAAGAAUCAAGAAGGAUGGAUUUUUUUAUGUUAAAGAUAAAACAGGAAGUUUUCGUGUGACUGAGGAGGGUUUGAUGGAUCGCCUAAGUACAGACAUGCAUGAAGCAUGCCUUAAGAUUGAAAAAGACUGCAGGGUUUUGACAAUCCAUGGAUCUGCUGAUGAAAUCAUCCCUGUUGAAGAUGCUGUGGAGUUCGCCAAGAUUAUACCUAACCACAAAUUACACAUUAUAGAAGGAGCUAAUCAUGGAUACACUUCACAUCAAGCUGAGUUGGCUUUGGUAGCUCUGAACUUCAUAAGGACAGGCCUGCAAGAAGGCAAGGAUAAACCCUAGCCAGGUGGCUGAAGGACCCUGCUCAUGAUACUGCUUGGCAUAAGCGCUUGACCAUUUUGGGUGUUAUUAUAUCAGGAUCCUCAUGAGAUGGACAUGAAUAAAUAGUUUGCUAAUUGGGUUUUAUUGCUCAUAUUGUUGGCAUGAGUCUAAUUUGUUGGAUGAAAUCGUUGAGAAAACAGUCUCCUUUGCUUGCACCUUUCCCUUCCAAGAAAGUAAAUGCCUAUUUCAAUGUGGAAGAGAGAACCCACAUGAUUUCCAGCAGCACAAAUCAGAAUGUAACACCAUUCUUAGAAUCCUAUUCAACCAGUAAAGCUUUUUCUUGACAGACAACUUUGACAUAAAGCAUGGCUAGUAAUUUGGGGGCUUCUGGACUUUUGAUUGGUCAUUUUAACUACAUUUGAUAGUGCUUCAAAUUUGGAUAAAACGAUUGAACUCAAUUUCAAAUUAAAUUCCCCACAGAUGUGAGAAAGGAAAAUGAAGUUUCUAGUACUGUGUUUUGUGAUGUUUUGUUCUUCAAAGAACAAAAAAAAUGAAAAAAAGAGCAUAGAUUCACCUAACUUAAUAAGCCAAAUAGUUGUAUUAGACAGAGUCAAGAAAGGGGGUUUUGUUUCCUUUGAUACCAAGUCAAGAGUAAUCAACGGGUGGUUGGGGGUUGAUUUCCAUCGUUUGCAAUCCUUACCCUUUUACAGGAACCAACUGGAGCAUUUGGUAAUUCAUGACUUCUUGUGUUUGUUCAUUGAAAUAUAAGAGAUUAGGUAGAUGGAAGUCUAGGGUGAUUUUGAAUGUGUUAGUUUACCUAGUAAAAGAGGAGAGUUGGUUUUGUUUGUUGAAUUUUGGGUCGUUGGUGGACUCCUAUUUACUUGGGUGUUGGAGAAAAGAAUUUUGAUUUAAACAAAUCAUUGUGUGUCAAUGUUAUCUAACUUGGUCUUGGCCCUUGAAAGCUUAAAAUAUUCCCUUGGACCUUUUCUAUUCCUCCUUUAAAGGGUUUGUAAAGGUUCAACAAUACAAGACUUUGAUGACUAAAAAGCUUCUGGAUUUGCUUAAGUCAGUAGCUAUGCCAUCAUGUUACAUAACCUAAGCUGAUUGUGAAUUUCUGUAUAUUUUAUUUGGCUUGAGUUUGGACACUGGGCUAAACAUUGAACACUGACACAUGAAUUACCCUGUUUCAGUGAUUCUGAAGAAGAAAGUUAGGGAUGGGUUUUGAUGCCAUGGAUUUUGAUGCACAAAGAUGUUGUUGGCCGUAUACUAACACUUUACUUUUUAUGCAUUUUUUAAUAAAAUUUUUGAAAGUAAAUAAAGUUAAAUAUAAAAAAUAAAUAAAUGAGCAUUUAUAGUUAUUAUGAACAUAAUAAAAAUUUUUAAUAGUAAUAUUAAUUUUUUCUUAUUCAUCUUUAAAUAUAACAUAAUUAUAUAGCCCUAGCAAAAGAAUAUAUGAUGCAAAAAAGAAAAAAAAAAAAGAAAAAAAAGAAGAAGCUCCCUUUUACAAAUUAUGUAGUGAGACAAAACGUAAUAAACCUUAAGUAAAUUCUUGUUCCAGCUUUCGAAUCACUUGGGAGAGUGUGGACUGUGGAGAGUCGAGACAGCCCAUGGAACAACCCGUCAGUAAUUAUCAUUCAGUUCUCUCAACCUCAUUUAUUUGCGAAAGAAGCCCAGUGCCCACUUUCCCUCUCCAUCGGGUCCGCUUCAUCUCCUCUCGCAAGCACAGGGCCAGUAGCAGUCUGAGGAUGGCUCAACCAGGUUCGAACCAUGAUGCACAAAACCCAGAUGAUUGCAAAUGUGGGAGAUUCAGAUAAAAAAAAUGAAAAUGGAUGAGAUUAAUGAACACCCUUUUGGUUGUUGAUUCAGCAGAAGAAAGUGAUAAUAACAAACAAUCAUGGUGAAAAACUCAUGGGCUCAUUACAUGAAACUGGAUCUGCAGAAAUUGUAAUUUUGUGCCAUGGUUUUCGGUCCACAAAGG